This 370-nucleotide RNase P RNA is filed under the name Microbacterium sp. cx-55. RNAcentral describes it as "RNase P RNA component class A". It matches the Rfam family "Bacterial RNase P class A". From Rfam's summary of the family: Ribonuclease P (RNase P) is a ubiquitous endoribonuclease, found in archaea, bacteria and eukarya as well as chloroplasts and mitochondria. Its best characterised activity is the generation of mature 5'-ends of tRNAs by cleaving the 5'-leader elements of precursor-tRNAs. Lineage: Bacteria; Bacillati; Actinomycetota; Actinomycetes; Micrococcales; Microbacteriaceae. The record is from RNAcentral.
UGGGUCGGCUGGACGGUCGCGUCGCGCGCGGUUCGCCGUGUCGCGCCGAGGAACGUCCGGGCUCCGUAGAGCAGGGCGGUGGGUAACACCCACCCGGAGUGAUCCGCGAGACAGUGCCACAGAAAACAGACCGCCACGGUUUCGACCGCGGUAAGGGUGAAACGGCGGUGUAAGAGACCACCGGGGUCAUGGUGACAUGACCCGCAAGGUAAACCUCGCCCGGAGCAAGGUCAGACAGAGGAUGUUGACGCGGCUCGCCGAGUCCUCGGGUAGGCCGCUGGAGCGGCACGGCAACGUGUCGCCGAGAGAGAUGACCGUCCACGGGGUUCACGCCCCCGGACAGAACCCGGCGUACAGGCCGGCCCAUUCG